UACGUAGGGUGCGAGCGUUGUCCGGAAUUAUUGGGCGUAAAGAGCUCGUAGGCGGUUUGUCGCGUCUGCUGUGAAAACUCGGGGCUUAACUCCGGGCCUGCAGUGGGUACGGGCAGACUAGAGUGCGGUAGGGGAGACUGGAAUUCCUGGUGUAGCGGUGAAAUGACGCAGGAUAUCAGGAGGAACACCGGUGGCGAAGGCGGGUCUCUGGGCCGAUACUGACGCUGAGGAGCGAAAGCGUGGGGAGCGAACAGG
RNAcentral lists this ribosomal RNA (255 nucleotides) under uncultured bacterium. Its description in RNAcentral is "partial 16S ribosomal RNA". It matches the Rfam family "Bacterial small subunit ribosomal RNA", at positions 524 to 776 of the family's 1533-position model. The record is from RNAcentral.